GUCGGCCUAGCUCAAUUGGUAGAGCAACUGACUUGUAAUCAGUAGGUUGGGGGUUCAAGUCCUCUGGCCGCACCA
Molecule: transfer RNA, 75 nt
Filed under: Bacillus sp. SL112
Lineage: Bacteria; Bacillati; Bacillota; Bacilli; Caryophanales; Bacillaceae
Description: tRNA-Thr
Rfam family: tRNA
About the family: Transfer RNA (tRNA) molecules are approximately 80 nucleotides in length. Their secondary structure includes four short double-helical elements and three loops (D, anti-codon, and T loops). Further hydrogen bonds mediate the characteristic L-shaped molecular structure. tRNAs have two regions of fundamental functional importance: the anti-codon, which is responsible for specific mRNA codon recognition, and the 3' end, to which the tRNAs corresponding amino acid is attached (by aminoacyl-tRNA synthetases). tRNAs cope with the degeneracy of the genetic code in two manners: having more than one tRNA (with a specific anti-codon) for a particular amino acid; and 'wobble' base-pairing, i.e. permitting non-standard base-pairing at the 3rd anti-codon position.
Source: RNAcentral